This 297-nucleotide ribosomal RNA is filed under the name Astrosyne radiata. RNAcentral describes it as "partial Eukaryotic large subunit ribosomal RNA". It matches the Rfam family "Eukaryotic large subunit ribosomal RNA", at positions 1918 to 2224 of the family's 3401-position model. Lineage: Eukaryota; Bacillariophyta; Fragilariophyceae; Cyclophorales; Cyclophoraceae. The record is from RNAcentral.
CAAAAUAGAUCCGUAACUUCGGGAUAAGGAUUGGCUCUAAGGGUUAGGUGCAUUGGGCCUGGUUUGGAAGGGUUAGGACCCGGCUGGAACUGCUUUGGGCAACCGAGGUGGAUCUGGCUGGGACCCGAUUUGGAAGAACUAGGCUGCCUUCGGGCGUCCGGUGUACAUUUAAUAACCAACUUAGAACUGGUACGGACAAGGGGAAUCUGACUGUCUAAUUAAAACAUAGCAUUGCGAUGGCCAGAAAGUGGUGUUGACGCAAUGUGAUUUCUGGCCAGUGCUCUGAAUGUCAAAGUG